GUUCUACCUUGACGAAUUGUAGUUUAAAGAAGUGUUUUCUGCUGGAGUUUUGGUAAAAGUUCUUUGGAAUAGGACAUCAUAGAGGGUGAGAAUCCCGUAUUUGACCAUUAUUUCCAGCUUUGUGAUACACUUUCAAAGAGCCGGAUUGUUUGGGAAUGCAGUCCAAAAUGGGUGGUAAAUUUCAUCUAAAGCUAAAUAUUGGCGAGAGACCGAUAGCGAACAAGUACCGUGAGGGAAAGAUGAAAAGAACUUUGAAAAGAGAGUUAAACAGUACGUGAAAUUGUCAAAAGGGAAGCGUUUGACACCAGUGUUGUUUUCUCGAAAAUCAAUUAAAAAAGACUGGAUUUUGUGUUGUAUUGACUUUAUCAGCUUUCUGCACUCUUUUCUUGUCUUUUUU
RNAcentral lists this ribosomal RNA (397 nucleotides) under uncultured Neocallimastigomycetes. RNAcentral describes it as "eukaryotic LSU rRNA". It matches the Rfam family "Eukaryotic large subunit ribosomal RNA", at positions 127 to 520 of the family's 3401-position model. The record is from RNAcentral. Lineage: Eukaryota; Fungi; Neocallimastigomycota; Neocallimastigomycetes.